This 252-nucleotide ribosomal RNA is filed under the name uncultured bacterium. RNAcentral's name for it is "partial 16S ribosomal RNA". It matches the Rfam family "Bacterial small subunit ribosomal RNA", at positions 524 to 775 of the family's 1533-position model. The record is from RNAcentral.
UACGAAGGGGGCUAGCGUUGUUCGGAAUCAUUGGGCGUAAAGCGCACGUAGGCGGUUCGUUAUGUCGGAUGUGAAAGCCCUUGGCUUAACCGAGGAAGUGCAUCCGAAACUGGCGAGCUAGAGUACGAAAGAGGAUCGCGGAAUUCCCGGUGUAGAGGUGAAAUUCGUAGAUAUCGGGAGGAACACCGGUGGCGAAGGCGGCGAUCUGGGUCGAUACUGACGCUGAGGUGCGAAAGCGUGGGGAGCAACAGG